ACUGACAGCCAUGGUUACCGCGGCUGCUGGCACGGAGUUAGCCGGUGCUUCUUCUGUGAGUGAUGUCCUUCCUGCCGGCUAUUAACCCGCAGGCCUUCUUCCUCACUGAAAGUGCUUUACAACCCGAAGGCCUUCUUCACACACGCGGCAUGGCUGGAUCAGGGUUGCCCCCAUUGUCCAAUAUUCCCCACUGCUGCCUCCCGUAGGAGUCUGGGCCGUGUCUCAGUCCCAGUGUGGCUGAUCAUCCUCUCAGACCAGCUACGGAUCGUCGCCUUGGUGAGCCGUUACCUCACCAACCAGCUAAUCCGACAUAGGCUCAUCCGAUAGCGCGAGGCCCGAAGGUCCCCCGCUUUCCCCCGUAGGGCGUAUGCGGUAUUAGCCUGGGUUUCCCCCAGGUUAUCCCCCCACUACCCGGGCAGAUUCCUAUGCAUUACUCACCCGUCCGCCGCUCGCCNCCAGGGAGCAAGCUCCCCGUGCUGCCGCUCGACUUGCAUGUGUUAGGCCUGCCGCCAGCGUUCAAU
Molecule: ribosomal RNA, 521 nt
Filed under: uncultured bacterium
Lineage: Bacteria
Description: partial 16S ribosomal RNA
Source: RNAcentral